UCUCUCGUGGCUCAGUGGUUAACGCAUCUGUCUUUCGAGCUUAGGGUCCCGGGUUCAACCCCCUUGGUGGUUAAA
Caenorhabditis brenneri is the source of this 75-nucleotide non-coding RNA. Lineage: Eukaryota; Metazoa; Nematoda; Chromadorea; Rhabditida; Rhabditidae. The record is from the annotation of a GenBank genome assembly.